GACGAACGCUGGCGGCGUGCUUAACACAUGCAAGUCGAACGAAGAGCGAUGGAAGCUUGCUUCUAUCAAUCUUAGUGGCGAACGGGUGAGUAACGCGUAAUCAACCUGCCCUUCAGAGGGGGACAACAGUUGGAAACGACUGCUAAUACCGCAUACGAUCUAAUCUCGGCAUCGAGGAUAGAUGAAAGGUGGCCUCUACAUGUAAGCUAUCACUGAAGGAGGGGAUUGCGUCUGAUUAGCUAGUUGGAGGGGUAACGGCCCACCAAGGCGAUGAUCAGUAGCCGGUCUGAGAGGAUGGACGGCCACAUUGGGACCGAGACAAGGCCCAGACUCCUACGGGAGGCAGCAGUGGGGAAUCUUCCGAAAUGGACGAAAGUCUGACGGAGCAACGCCGCGUGAGCGAUGACGGCCUUCGGGUUGUAAAGCUCGGUUAAUCGGGACGAAAGGGCUUCUUGCGAAUAGGGAGAAGGAUUGACGGUACCGGAAUAGAAAGCCACGGCUAACUACGUG
RNAcentral lists this ribosomal RNA (510 nucleotides) under uncultured bacterium. Its description in RNAcentral is "partial 16S ribosomal RNA". It matches the Rfam family "Bacterial small subunit ribosomal RNA", at positions 28 to 507 of the family's 1533-position model. The record is from RNAcentral.